AUUGAACGCUGGCGGCAGGCCUAACACAUGCAAGUCGAACGGUAACAUUUCUAGCUUGCUAGAAGAUGACGAGUGGCGGACGGGUGAGUACAACUUAGGGAUCUGCCUUUUGGAGGGGGAUAACCAUUGGAAACGAUGGCUAAUACCGCAUAACACCUACGGGUCAAAGGGGGCGCUUGCGCUCUCACCAAGAGAUGAACCUAAGCGAGAUUAGCUAGUUGGUAGGGUAAAGGCCUACCAAGGCGACGAUCUCUAGCUGUUCUGAGAGGAAGAUCAGCCACACUGGGACUGAGACACGGCCCAGACUCCUACGGGAGGCAGCAGUGGGGAAUAUUGCACAAUGGGGGCAACCCUGAUGCAGCCAUGCCGCGUGUGUGAAGAAGGCUUUCGGGUUGUAAAGCACUUUCAGUUGUGAGGAAAGGUUGGUAGUUAAUACCUGCCAGCUGUGACGUUAACAACAGAAGAAGCACCGGCUAACUCCG
RNAcentral lists this ribosomal RNA (482 nucleotides) under uncultured Glaciecola sp. RNAcentral's name for it is "bacterial SSU rRNA". It matches the Rfam family "Bacterial small subunit ribosomal RNA", at positions 30 to 505 of the family's 1533-position model. The record is from RNAcentral. Lineage: Bacteria; Pseudomonadati; Pseudomonadota; Gammaproteobacteria; Alteromonadales; Alteromonadaceae.